CAGCCGCCGCGGGAAUACGGAGGGGGCUAGCGUUGUUCGGAAUUACUGGGCGUAAAGCGCACGUAGGCGGCGAUUUAAGUCAGAGGUGAAAGCCCGGGGCUCAACCCCGGAACUGCCUUUGAAACUAGGUGACUAGAAUCUUGGAGAGGUCAGUGGAAUUCCGAGUGUAGAGGUGAAAUUCGUAGAUAUUGGAUGGAACACCGGUGGCGAAAGCGGCUCUCUGGCCCGGAUCUGACGCUGAGGCGCGAAAGCGUGGGGAGCAAACAGGAUUAGAUACCCGUGUAGUCCCUGUCUCUUAUAC
This 301-nucleotide ribosomal RNA is filed under the name uncultured bacterium. RNAcentral's name for it is "partial 16S ribosomal RNA". It matches the Rfam family "Bacterial small subunit ribosomal RNA", at positions 509 to 807 of the family's 1533-position model. The record is from RNAcentral.